This 209-nucleotide ribosomal RNA is filed under the name uncultured bacterium. RNAcentral's name for it is "partial 16S ribosomal RNA". It matches the Rfam family "Bacterial small subunit ribosomal RNA", at positions 568 to 774 of the family's 1533-position model. The record is from RNAcentral.
UGCGUAGGCGGUUUUGUAAGUCUUAUGUGAAAUCUAUGGGCUCAACUCAUAGACUGCAUGAGAAACUGCAGGGCUUGAGUGUGGGAGAGGUGAGUGGAAUUUCCGGUGUAGCGGUGAAAUGCGUAGAUAUCGGAAGGAACACCUGUGGCGAAAGCGGCUCACUGGACCACAACUGACGCUGAUGCACGAAAGCGUAGGGGAGACAAACA